GGCUGGUAUGAUGGUAGUGAGUUAUCAGAACUUAUUAACAUUGGUGUCACUAAAGUUGGUAUACAACUCCCCACUGCCAAAUUUUACUGGCUUUAA
This 96-nucleotide Y RNA is filed under the name Microcebus murinus (gray mouse lemur). Its description in RNAcentral is "Y RNA (ENSMICG00000046108.1)". It matches the Rfam family "Y RNA". Rfam says of the family: Y RNAs are components of the Ro ribonucleoprotein particle (Ro RNP), in association with Ro60 and La proteins. The Y RNAs and Ro60 and La proteins are well conserved, but the function of the Ro RNP is not known. Lineage: Eukaryota; Metazoa; Chordata; Mammalia; Primates; Cheirogaleidae. The record is from Rfam by way of RNAcentral.